AUUCCAGCUCCAAUAGCGUAUAUUAAAGUUGUUGCAGUUAAAAAGCUCGUAGUCUGAGUCUUGGUCUGGUGAAUGAGCGUCCACGGUGUAUUUGGAUUUGUUUUCAUUGCAUUGUGCGCAUGCGAAUCACUGGCCGAUUUUGUACUUCGGAGGAACUUUUCAUGCUUUUCAUUAAGUGUGGAUUGGGAUUCCGAUAGCAUGGGAUAAUGGAAUAGGACAUUGGUUCUAUUUUGUUGGUUUACGGACCGAUGUAAUGAUUAAUAGGAACAGUUGGGGACAUUUAUAUUCCAUGGCUAGAGGUGAAAUUCUUGGAUUCAUGGAAGAUAAACUAUUGCGAAAGCAUUUGUCAAAGAUGUUUUCAUUG
Molecule: ribosomal RNA, 364 nt
Filed under: Pterocystida sp.
Lineage: Eukaryota; Centroplasthelida; Pterocystida
Description: partial small subunit ribosomal RNA
Rfam family: Eukaryotic small subunit ribosomal RNA
Source: RNAcentral